CAAUGAGGAAACAUUUCCUUUGUUACUUCCUUCCUUGGUGAUUGCCUGUCUUCUUCACCAAUAUACUAGAGUUACAGAAUGUGGUGAUAAGUACUUUACAAUGGGAUUAAAUAUGGCAACAUGGCUAGAUCUGCACAAAUCUGGAACUCUCAUUCUGUUUGUGCUAUAGAGUCACUUUGCUGCUCUUACAUUUGCCCCAGGAACACUUUGCACAUGUUGCCAUUGUCCUAUUUAUCUCCUCCCAUUAUUGGUUGCCUACACACAGUGGGCUGAGCCCUUGAUGGCUGUAUUGUGACUAGGUCAUGGGCUGAAUUUGAACUGAAACUCUCAGUGACGCGGAAUUAUUAUUUGAAGAAGCUGUCUGAAGUGACUUUCUAAGCAAAGACUUCAUUUGGAUUCCAAGGACCUGGGAUGCCAAACGUCAGCAAGUGAAAUGUGCCUCCAUGAUACUAAUUCCUGAUCAUCACCAGAGGACCAGUUGCACAAUGCAUGAAAAAACAUCAUUAUGAGUGGCUAUAAUGAUAGUAGAAAGAUCAUCCUACUAGGAAUGAGGAUAUUCUGUUUAGUUACAGCCUUUAAAAAAGCAGUGUAAACCUGAGACUUUGCAACUGGCAAGCAUUCUGGACCACAACAUCCCACAAUGCACUGGUGAUAACUUUCCUCCCAGACAGAUAUCAGCUAACCACAGUGUACAAUCAGCUGCCCACAUUGGAAGACACAAAUCAGAAAACCACUGUUCCAUAAUCACAGAAUUGAAAGAACUGCAUACGUAAAAUGACAGGCUAUUAAUUCUGGUUUGGAA
Long non-coding RNA from Herpailurus yagouaroundi (jaguarundi), 802 nucleotides. RefSeq lists it as uncharacterized. NCBI's taxonomy places the organism in Eukaryota, Metazoa, Chordata, Mammalia, Carnivora, Felidae. The transcript has 6 exons. The record is from RefSeq and is a predicted model, not a curated record.